GAUGAAGAACGCAGCGAAAUGCGAUAAGUAAUGUGAAUUGCAGAAUUCAGUGAAUCAUCGAAUCUUUGAACGCACAUUGCGCCCUUUGGCAUUCCGAAGGGCACACCUGUCCGAGCGCCGUCGCACAACUGAGGCGCAGCCUUGCGUUGGCGGGCGACUUGUGAGUAGCGAGUCGCCGCCCAAACGAGACGGCGCCGCGCCGCGGCCGACGAAGCACGAAAGCGGAAGUCGACGCGGAGGCGGUUGCCUGUAGGAAGACACAGCUUGGCCUCGGAUCAGGUGGGGAUACCCGCUGAACUUAAGCAUAUCAAUAACGGAGGA
RNAcentral lists this unclassified non-coding RNA (321 nucleotides) under soil metagenome. Its description in RNAcentral is "partial contains 5.8S ribosomal RNA, internal transcribed spacer 2, and large subunit ribosomal RNA". The stretch from base 1 to 120 matches the Rfam family "5.8S ribosomal RNA", at positions 35 to 154 of the family's 154-position model. The record is from RNAcentral.